UACGUAGGGUGCAGGCGUUAAUCGGAAUUACUGGGCGUAAAGCGUGCGCAGGCGGCUCCUUAAGUCAGAUGUGAAAUCCCCGGGCUUAACCUGGGAACUGCGUUUGAAACUGGGGAGCUCGAGUGUGGAAGAGGGGGGUGGAAUUCCAGGUGUAGCAGUGAAAUGCGUAGAGAUCUGGAGGAACACCGAUGGCGAAGGCAGCCCCCUGGGCUAACACUGACGCUCAUGCACGAAGGCGUGGGGAGCAAACAGG
This 253-nucleotide ribosomal RNA is filed under the name uncultured bacterium. Its description in RNAcentral is "partial 16S ribosomal RNA". It matches the Rfam family "Bacterial small subunit ribosomal RNA", at positions 524 to 776 of the family's 1533-position model. The record is from RNAcentral.